This is a long non-coding RNA of Oncorhynchus tshawytscha (Chinook salmon), 306 nucleotides long. The record is from Ensembl. Lineage: Eukaryota; Metazoa; Chordata; Actinopteri; Salmoniformes; Salmonidae.
UAUAUACAUGGUACAUUAUAGACAUGGUACAUCAUAGACAGGGUACAUCAUAGACAGGGUAUGCCAUAGACAGGGUACAUCAUAGAUAGUUAUUCUUAUCAUAUACAGGGUACAUUAUAGACAGGGUACAUCAUAGAUAGGGCACAUUAUAGACAGGGUACGCCAUAGACAGGGUACAUCAUAGAUAGUUAUUCUUAUCAUAGACAGGAUACAUUAUAGACAGGGUACAUCAUAGAUAGUUAUUAUUAUCAUAGACAGGGUACAUCAUAGAUAUAUAUUAUUAUUAUAGACAGGGUAAAUAAUAGA